Non-coding RNA from Bos taurus (domestic cattle), 60 nucleotides. The record is from Rfam. Lineage: Eukaryota; Metazoa; Chordata; Mammalia; Artiodactyla; Bovidae.
GGCUCAGAGGGUAAAGAAUCUGCCUGCAAUGCAGGAGACCAGGGUUCAAUCCCUGGGCCG